This 915-nucleotide long non-coding RNA is filed under the name Bos indicus x Bos taurus (hybrid cattle). RNAcentral describes it as "lncRNA (ENSBIXG00000010486.1)". Lineage: Eukaryota; Metazoa; Chordata; Mammalia; Artiodactyla; Bovidae. The record is from RNAcentral.
AUGGGUCGUUGGAUGGUCAGAGUGGAAGUUUACAAUCACUCCUUCAACCACUCAGGUGGUUGGCAUCUUGAAAAUCAGGUUCAUUAUUAUGAAGAUGGUAAUGUUCAACUAGUGAGUCAUAAAGAUAUACAAGAUUCCCUAAACAGUGUCUAAUGAGGUGCAAACAGCAAAAGAAUUUAUAAAGAUUGUAGAGGCUGCAGAAAAUGAAUACCAGGUAUGAGUUUCAAAAAUAUUAUAUAAUCUAUGUUUGCUUAUAAAUAUUGGCACUGAAAUUUUAAUUUCAGUUAUAAGCUUGAACUUUUUCAUCAUUUCACUAUAAUAAGAUAGUUUUUUUUCAUUUUAAUUCAAGAGCAGACUUGUGAAAAUGUAGUAAAAACUAAGUUUUAGCCAACUGUAAUUUCUGAGUACUGGUCAAAGUAGACCAAGAUUUUAUAUGGCUAUUUUGUUUCUGACUAGGAAAAUCCCAUGGACGGAGCAGCCUGGUAGGCUACAGUCCAUGGGGCCGCUAAGAGUUGGACACGACUGAGCGACUUCACUUUCACUUUUCACUUUCAUGCAUUGGAGAAGGCAAUGGCAACCCACUCCAGUGUUCUUGCCUGGAGAAUCCCAGGGAUGGGGCAGCCUGCUCGGCUGCCGUCUAUGGGGUCGCACAUAGUCGGACACAACUGAGGUGACUUAGCAGUAGCAGCAGAAAUUCUAAUAUAGGAGGUGUUUCCCAGAACAGUUAGAUUAUAUGUGAUCUGCUUAGAUCAUAGUUCAUUUUAUACUCUGCUUUUUAUAAUACAUUCUUUAUCAGCUUCUAAAUUGCAUUCUUGAAUUUAAGCAUUUAUGUAUUGGACAUGUUUCCACUCCUCGCAAAUAGUAUUUGUGAAAUUGUUCUGAGAGAAAUAAUAAAAUAGAUCCAAAACAAGAACA